CGUCACUAUCUCAUUUGCAUAAACAUAACCAUGUUACUAGACAUCCUGUGGUUCGUAUUUAAUAUUUUUAUUUAUCUAUCAGGUUCUCUUCCAAUCGUCCAUGAUAUAAUAUGAUCAAUUCUCCCAUGCUUUUUAUUGGCUAUUGUUAUGUCAUGUUGGUUUCUGUAAUGUUACUUCAAAAUAAUGAAUUUUUGGUUGGAUUUUCUUACUAAAGGCAGGCAUUUUAAUCUUAGGUGCUUUAUUCAGUGCAUGUGGUGUCUUGGAUUGAAAUAAGAGUAUCUUAGUGAGUUGCUUGUGUAGUGUGAGGAAAAGUUUCAUUUAUGUAGACUUGUGAAGGAU
Molecule: long non-coding RNA, 339 nt
Filed under: Elaeis guineensis (African oil palm)
Lineage: Eukaryota; Viridiplantae; Streptophyta; Magnoliopsida; Arecales; Arecaceae
Description: long non-coding RNA (EGUI_LNC007575)
Source: RNAcentral